RNAcentral lists this long non-coding RNA (252 nucleotides) under Olea europaea subsp. europaea. Lineage: Eukaryota; Viridiplantae; Streptophyta; Magnoliopsida; Lamiales; Oleaceae. The record is from RNAcentral.
AUGCCAUCAAUCGAAUCUUAUUACUUUGCUAUCAACAUUGAAUAUGCAGCUAAACAUCUUAUAACUCGAAAAAUCCAAGUGAAUUAUUUUAUUCAUUCAAAAAAAAGUGCACUAACAACCUUAGAAUGAAAAAUUCAAAAACCCUAAAAUAUAUUGUGUUCCAUGAGUAGAUAGUGAAACUAGAUUGUUUAAGGCUUAAUGUUUUUAGGAACCAAGGUUGCACCAAACUCGACAAUGUAGUCAUAUCGGCCA